RNAcentral lists this ribosomal RNA (467 nucleotides) under uncultured bacterium. RNAcentral's name for it is "partial 16S ribosomal RNA". It matches the Rfam family "Bacterial small subunit ribosomal RNA", at positions 28 to 506 of the family's 1533-position model. The record is from RNAcentral.
GACGAACGCUGGCGGCGUGCUUAACACAUGCAAGUCGAACGGAAAGGCCCUGCUUUUGUGGGGUGCUCGAGUGGCGAACGGGUGAGUAACACGUGAGUAACCUGCCCUUGACUUUGGGAUAACUUCAGGAAACUGGGGCUAAUACCGGAUAGGAGCUCCUGCUGCAUGGUGGGGGUUGGAAAGUUUCGGCGGUUGGGGAUGGACUCGCGGCUUAUCAGCUUGUUGGUGGGGUAGUGGCUUACCAAGGCUUUGACGGGUAGCCGGCCUGAGAGGGUGACCGGCCACAUUGGGGCUGAGAUACGGCCCAGACACCCCGGGGGGGGAGAGGGGGGGAAAAUUGAACAAGGGGGGGAAGCGGCUGGCGGCAAGCCGCCGUGGGGGAGGAGGGCCUUCGGGUUGCAAACCCUUUUCGCCUGUGAGGAGGGGGAAGGGGGGGAAAUGGGGAAAAAAGCACCGGUUACUCACGG